RNAcentral lists this microRNA (22 nucleotides) under Cordylochernes scorpioides. The record is from RNAcentral. Lineage: Eukaryota; Metazoa; Arthropoda; Arachnida; Pseudoscorpiones; Chernetidae.
AUUCUGGAAAUCAUUGCUUUGU